UUGUCUCAAAGACUAAGCCAUGCAUGUCUAAGUACACACGUUACAAAGUGAAACCGCGAAUGGCUCAUUAAAUCAGUUAUGGUUCCUUAGAUCGUACUCCAUACUUGGAUAACUGUGGCAAUUCUAGAGCUAAUACAUGCGAAAAGACUCGACGCAAGAAGAGUCGCUUUUAUUAGGUCAAAACCAAUCGGAUUCGUCCGUUCAUUUGGUGACUCUGGAUAACUCUAGCGGAUCGCGACGGCCUUGUGCCGGCGACGUAUCUUUCAAAUGUCUGCCCUAUCAACUUUCGAUGGUACGUAACAUGCCUACCAUGGUUGUAACGGGUAACGGGGAAUCAGGGUUCGAUUCCGGAGAGGGAGCCUGAGAAAUGGCUACCACAUCCAAGGAAGGCAGCAGGCGCGCAAAUUACCCAAUCCCAGAAUGGGGAGGUAGUGACGAAAAAUAACAAUGUCAGCUCGUAACGAGUUCGAUAAUUGGAAUGAGCAGAAUUUAAAUCCUUUAGUGAGGAUCCAUUGGAGGGCAAGUAUGGUGCCAGCAGCCGCGGUAAUUCCAUCUCCAAUAGCGUAUAUUAAAGUUGUUGCAGUUAAAAAGCUCGUAGUUGCAUCUCAGACAGACACCGUUUGGUCCUAAUCGCACUGACGGAUGUAGUCUACUCGUCGGUCCGUUGCUUUGUGCUCUUCAUUGAGUGCUUUGUAGCGCCGGCACGUUUACUUUGAAAAAAUUAGAGUGCUCAAAGCAAGCGUUUGCUCGAAUAUUGAUGCAUGGAAUAAUGGAAUAGGACUUCGGUUCUAUUUUGUUGGUUUUCGGAACCGCAGUAAUGAUUAAGAGGAACAGACGGGGGCAUUCGUAUUGCUCUGUUAGAGGUGAAAUUCUUGGAUCGGAGCAAGACGAACAAACGCGAAGGCAUUUGUCAAGAAUGUUUUCAUUAAUCAAGAACGAAAGUCAGAGGUUCGAAGGCGAUCAGAUACCGCCCUAGUUCUGACCAUAAACGAUGCCAACUAACGAUUAGCCGGGUUUAUUAAACGCCUCGGCUAGCAGUUUCCGGGAAACCAAAGUGUUUGGGUUCCGGGGGAAGUAUGGUUGCAAAGCUGAAACUUAAAGGAAUUGACGGAAGGGCACCACCAGGAGUGGAGCCUGCGGCUUAAUUUGACCCAACACGGGAAAACUCACCCGGCCCGGACACCAGAAGGAUUGACAGAUUGAGAGCUCUUUCUUGAUUUGGUGGAUGGUGGUGCAUGGCCGUUCUUAGUUGGUGGAGCGAUUUGUCUGGUUAAUUCCGAUAACGAACGAGACUCUAGCCUGCUAAAUAGACCGCGAAUUCUUGUAGUUCGUCGGCGCUUCUUAGAGGGACAAGUGACACCACAUAAGUGGGUAGUCACACGAAAUUGAGCAAUAACAGGUCUGUGAUGCCCUUAGAUGUCCGGGGCCGCACGCGCGCUACAAUGAAAGAAACAACGUGCAUUAUCCUAGCCUGUAAAGGUUGGAGAAUCCGUUGAAUACCCUUCGUACCAGGGAUUGGGGCUUGUAAUUAUUCCCCAUGAACGAGGAAUUCCCAGUAGGCGCAAGUCAUAAGCUUGCGUCGACUACGUCCCUGCCCUUUGUACACACCGCCCGUCGCUACUACCGAUUGAGUUGUUUAGUGAGAUCCUCAGAUUGGACGUUAUUCGUGAGCAAUUGCAUCUGACGGACGAGAAGAAGACCAAACUUGAUCAUUUAGAGGAAGUAAAAGUCGUAACAAGGUUUCCGUAGGUGAACCUGCGGAAGGAUCAUUA
Molecule: ribosomal RNA, 1772 nt
Filed under: Diuronotus aspetos
Lineage: Eukaryota; Metazoa; Gastrotricha; Chaetonotida; Muselliferidae
Description: SSU rRNA
Rfam family: Eukaryotic small subunit ribosomal RNA
Source: RNAcentral